Molecule: ribosomal RNA, 502 nt
Filed under: uncultured Alphaproteobacteria bacterium
Lineage: Bacteria; Pseudomonadati; Pseudomonadota; Alphaproteobacteria
Description: bacterial SSU rRNA
Rfam family: Bacterial small subunit ribosomal RNA
Source: RNAcentral
GCCUGAUCCAGCCAUGCCGCGUGUGUGAUGAAGGCCUUAGGGUCGUAAAGCNCUUUCGCCAGAGAUGAUAAUGACAGUAUCUGGUAAAGAAACCCCGGCUAACUCCGUGCCAGCAGCCGCGGUAAUACGGAGGGGGUUAGCGUUGUUCGGAAUUACUGGGCGUAAAGCGCACGUAGGCGGAUUAGUCAGUCAGAGGUGAAAUCCCAGGGCUCAACCCUGGAACUGCCUUUGAUACUGCUAGUCUUGAGUUCGAGAGAGGUGAGUGGAAUUCCGAGUGUAGAGGUGAAAUUCGUAGAUAUUCGGAGGAACACCAGUGGCGAAGGCGGCUCACUGGCUCGAUACUGACGCUGAGGUGCGAAAGUGUGGGGAGCAAACAGGAUUAGAUACCCUGGUAGUCCACACCGUAAACGAUGAAUGCCAGUCGUCGGGCAGUAUACUGUUCGGUGACACACCUAACGGAUUAAGCAUUCCGCCUGGGGAGUACGGUCGCAAGAUUAAAACU